Molecule: non-coding RNA, 507 nt
Organism: Tupaia belangeri chinensis (Chinese tree shrew)
Lineage: Eukaryota; Metazoa; Chordata; Mammalia; Scandentia; Tupaiidae
Source: the annotation of a RefSeq genome assembly
CCCUCAGGAUAAGAGAGGCCUGGGGGCCCUCCCUGCUGUGGGCUCAGAGGCAGAGCUCUGGGGUGUCUCCACCAUGGCCUGGACCCUUCUCCUGCUCCCCCUCCUCACUCUCUGCACAGGCUCUGUGCCCUCCUCUGCAGUGACUCAGUCACCUUCAGUGUCUGUGGCACUGGGACAGACAGUCAAGAUCACCUGCCAGGGAGGAGACUUAAGAAUACUUCCUGCAAACUGGUACCAGCAGAAGCCAGACCAGAGCCCUGCACUGCUCAUCUAUGGUGAUAGCAGCCGGGCCUCAGGGGUCCCUGAGCGGUUCUCCGGCUCCCGCUCUGGUGGAACGGCCACCCUGACCAUCACUGGGGCCCAGGCUGAGGACGAGGCUGACUAUUUCUGUCAGUCAACGGACAGUUUAACAUUGCCACAGUGACACAAGCAGAUGAGGAAAUGAGACACAAACCCCCUUCUCUGUCUGGGUCACAACCUCCCUGCAGACACAGGAAGACUGGGGAC